AUGACUAUUGUAAUCAGCUUUGUGGUUUCAUUGAUGGUAUAUUAUUCAUUUGUUCUGUAAUAUGGUCAUAAUCAUUAAAUACUAUUAAAAUAUUGUCAACAAAAAUAAACUCACAUUAGCACAAAUUAAUAAUUGUAUGUAUUUAUUGUUUGUAUUAUCUUGAAACUCUCCCGAGCAGCAUUUUUGCACUCAAAUAAGAUGGCCGUAGAGCGCCCUCAGGGGACCGUUAAUUAGACAUCAGAAUGAAUACACUACCAACGUACAUUUUUAAAAAUCCACCAAAUUCAUCAUUUUUGCAAAUUAAACGGCAUCUCUCGUUCAAACUGGCUCGCUCUAACAGCUCGUCGGUUCUCCGCAUUGGAUUGUGGGAAAUAGUGCUUCAGCGAGUGUACAUCGGUUGUACACUCGAAAUCAGAAUGCAUUGUGGGUAAAAAGUAGUGAACGAAUGUAGGGAAUGAAGUCGUUCACUCAGAAUUCGGACAGCACUACAAAAUGGCUGACACCCGAUAUAGUGCACUAUAUAGUGGAUAGGGAGUGGUUUCGGACACAGCUAUAGUUUCGCCAGUAGGUGGCGACAAGGGACUGAUUAAUUGAAUGAUUCAUUCAACCGAUUCUUUCAAAAUUAUUCAUUCAGGAACGCAAAAAGAGACUUUCUUUAUGAGUCAAUGAAUCAUUUAUUCAAACGAUUCACUCUGUUUUGUUCACAAAUGAAAGUGUUGGAGACGGUUAAUUCGGAGUCAUUGCUUUUGAGGAGCAAAACUACACAAAGUAUCUGACAGUCUAUUUAAAAUAACUCGCCCUUGUCUGAAGAGCCCUCAAGAGGGUUCAGCCCUCACUCAUGGUGUCACAUGCACCUGCAGAUGUAUUCCCAAAACCCUCUGAGAUGACUUACUAAGCAUGCUGGGGAACCAUCGAUGCCCACUGUGGUGCGGAGGCGCGGGCUGUUCUUAUUGUCCUUGAGACGUGUGAGGAUUGCACCCAGAGUGGCAGCAAUUAGAUUUGCAGAGCGAAAAGAGACAAUAGCGCAAACAUGCUGCACAGCAAUGCAGUCGUCUUCAGAUGGCUCUACACCCAAGCGUGUCAAAAUCUCCUUGGCUUUGGUGGAUGAAAAACUGGUCAUGUACCCGUGAUCCGCUGCCGUGGAUGAUGUCCUCUGGAGUCUCAUAUAUCUGACUUUCCAUCUGCACGGUCUGUUUCUUCUCAUGAGACACUUUCACUCGCAGAAUACGGAAAUUAGAGCCGCCCAGAUCCAGGGCAAUGAAAUCUCCCUUCUCUGUUGGAAAUGAGGGGUCUGGGAGUGUGAAGAUUUUUAAUUCUGUAAACUCAGCAUCAACUGGAAAGGUGUUUCACCUCUUCUCCUGUGCCCUGCAUGAUCUCCAUUGGAAUGGCAUAAAUCUUGUUGUACAUCCGGACUGAAUUUCGCAUACCGGUACGAAUCUUAACCACCAACACACGGAAAUUGGUUCCGCCAAGAUCCAAG
Molecule: long non-coding RNA, 1480 nt
Organism: Onychostoma macrolepis
Lineage: Eukaryota; Metazoa; Chordata; Actinopteri; Cypriniformes; Cyprinidae
Exons: 6
Source: RefSeq, a predicted model, not a curated record